Molecule: ribosomal RNA, 386 nt
Filed under: uncultured eukaryote
Lineage: Eukaryota
Description: SSU rRNA
Rfam family: Eukaryotic small subunit ribosomal RNA
Source: RNAcentral
AGCUCUAGUAGUGUAUGUUGAAGUUGCUGCAGUUAAAAAGCUCGUAGUUGGAUUUCGGAACGCGAUAGUCAAAGUCCGUCUCAACGGCGUGGCUCGACGUUCGCUUCCUAUCUUCGGAUAGUGGCUCUCUUCCUUCACGGGUUGGGAUGUCCGCUUCCGAUCUUUUACUUUGAAAAAAUUCGCGCGCUCAAGGCAGGCGUAACUUGCUAUGAAGAUUACAGCAUGGGAUAAUAGAAUACGACUUUGGUCUUAUUUUGUUGGUUUCUAAGGCUGAGGUAAUGAUUAAGAGGGGUGGUUGGGGCCGCUUGUAUUCAGUGGCUAGAGGUGAAAUUCUAGGAUUUACUGAAGACAAACUACUGCGAAAGCAUUCGGCAAGGACGCUUUCA